This is a transfer RNA of 71 nucleotides. It matches the Rfam family "tRNA". Rfam says of the family: Transfer RNA (tRNA) molecules are approximately 80 nucleotides in length.
CAGUAGCUCAGUGGUAGAGCAAUCGGCUGUUAACCGAUCGGUCGUAGGUUCGAGUCCUACCUGUGGAGCCA